This 274-nucleotide ribosomal RNA is filed under the name uncultured bacterium. RNAcentral's name for it is "partial 16S ribosomal RNA". It matches the Rfam family "Bacterial small subunit ribosomal RNA", at positions 523 to 796 of the family's 1533-position model. The record is from RNAcentral.
AUACGGAGGGGGCUAGCGUUGUUCGGAAUUACUGGGCGUAAAGCGCGCGUAGGCGGGUUGGCAAGUUGAAGGUGAAAUCCCAGGGCUCAACCCUGGCGCUGCCUCCAAAACUGCCAGUCUUGAGUUCGGAAGAGGUGAGUGGAAUUCCUAGUGUAGAGGUGAAAUUCGUAGAUAUUAGGAAGAACACCAGUGGCGAAGGCGACUCACUGGUCCGAUACUGACGCUGAGGUGCGAAAGCGUGGGGAGCAAACAGGAUUAGAUACCCCAGUAGUCC